GCGGGAUUAGUUAAACGGCUUAACGCUACCUUCCCAAGGUAGAGAAAGGGAUUCGACUUCCCUAUCCCGCUCAA
This 74-nucleotide transfer RNA is filed under the name Candidatus Woesebacteria bacterium RIFOXYA1_FULL_31_71. Its description in RNAcentral is "tRNA-Gly". It matches the Rfam family "tRNA". Rfam says of the family: Transfer RNA (tRNA) molecules are approximately 80 nucleotides in length. Their secondary structure includes four short double-helical elements and three loops (D, anti-codon, and T loops). Lineage: Bacteria; Candidatus Woeseibacteriota. The record is from RNAcentral. RNAcentral also lists the same sequence under 4 other names.